Molecule: ribosomal RNA, 435 nt
Filed under: uncultured bacterium
Lineage: Bacteria
Description: partial 16S ribosomal RNA
Rfam family: Bacterial small subunit ribosomal RNA
Source: RNAcentral
AGCGAACGCUGGCGGCAGGCUUAACACAUGCAAGUCGAGCGGGCAUCUUCGGAUGUCAGCGGCAGACGGGUGAGUAACACGUGGGAACGUACCCUUCGGUUCGGAACAACUCUGGGAAACUGGAGCUAAUACCGGAUACGCCCUUAUGGGGAAAGGUUUACUGCCGAAGGAUCGGCCCGCGUCUGAUUAGCUAGUUGGUGGGGUAACGGCCUACCAAGGCGACGAUCAGUAGCUGGUCUGAGAGGAUGAUCAGCCACACUGGGACUGAGACACGGCCCAGACUCCUACGGGAGGCAGCAGUGGGGAAUAUUGGACAAUGGGCGCAAGCCUGAUCCAGCCAUGCCGCGUGAGUGAUGAAGGCCUUAGGGUUGUAAAGCUCUUUUGUCCGGGACGAUAAUGACGGUACCGGAAGAAUAAGCCUCGGCUAACUUCGUG